This 507-nucleotide ribosomal RNA is filed under the name uncultured bacterium. Its description in RNAcentral is "bacterial SSU rRNA". It matches the Rfam family "Bacterial small subunit ribosomal RNA", at positions 8 to 487 of the family's 1533-position model. The record is from RNAcentral.
AGAGUUUGAUCCUGGCUCAGGACGAACGCUGGCGGCGUGCCUAAUACAUGCAAGUCGAACGCAUUUUCUUUCACCGUAGCUUGCUACACCGAAAGAAAAUGAGUGGCGAACGGGUGAGUAACACGUGGGUAACCUGCCCAUCAGCGGGGGAUAACACUUGGAAACAGGUGCUAAUACCGCAUAAUUCCAUUUACCGCAUGGUAGAGGGAUGAAAGGCGCUUUUGCGUCACUGAUGGAUGGACCCGCGGUGCAUUAGCUAGUUGGUGGGGUAACGGCCUACCAAGGCUGCGAUGCAUAGCCGACCUGAGAGGGUGAUCGGCCACACUGGGACUGAGACACGGCCCAGACUCCUACGGGAGGCAGCAGUAGGGAAUCUUCGGCAAUGGACGCAAGUCUGACCGAGCAACGCCGCGUGAGUGAAGAAGGUUUUCGGAUCGUAAAACUCUGUUGUUAGAGAAGAACAAGGAUGAGAGUGGAAAGUUCAUCCCUUGACGGUAUCUAACCAGA